RNAcentral lists this long non-coding RNA (325 nucleotides) under Elaeis guineensis (African oil palm). RNAcentral's name for it is "long non-coding RNA (EGUI_LNC021961)". The record is from RNAcentral. Lineage: Eukaryota; Viridiplantae; Streptophyta; Magnoliopsida; Arecales; Arecaceae.
GUCAGGCCACCAAAAGGUAGAGGGCAUGUAUGGCCCUAGCUCCUAAGCACGGCCGAAUUGAGGUCGUGCUCGCCCAGCCUGCGACUGGUAGUUUCUUAGGGCCAAGUGGUGCACCUCCGAGGAAGGAGUCCUCAACGUCGAGGGAUGUGCAGCCCCUUAGGUCCACCAUCCUGGGGGAUACAGUCCCUCAUCCUUCAGCUUCAUCAUUGCAGUGGAGUUCGGGUACUCUUCGAAUUUUAGUGCAAAUGUCGUCGCACCUAGCGCCCAGCCGACCUACCAGCUGAGAUUUCUAUUCCGAUGGGAACCCCAUCAAACGUCGAGGCCC